Molecule: ribosomal RNA, 510 nt
Filed under: uncultured Glomeromycotina
Lineage: Eukaryota; Fungi; Glomeromycota
Description: SSU rRNA
Rfam family: Eukaryotic small subunit ribosomal RNA
Source: RNAcentral
AGCAGCCGCGGUAAUUCCAGCUCCAAUAGCGUAUAUUAAAGUUGUUGCAGUUAAAAAGCUCGUAGUUGAAUUUCGGAAUCUGUCCGUUAGUCGGGCUUCAUUGUCCGUACUGGUGUGAUGGGUUCUUACCUUCUGAAUAACCAGCAUGCCAUUUAUUUGGUGCGCUGGGGAAGCAGGACUAUUACCUUGAAAAAAUUAGAGUGCUCAAAGCAGGCUAGUGCCUGAAUACAUUAGCAUGGAAUAAUAAAAUAGGACGGCAUGGUUCUAUUUUGUUGGUUUCUAGGAUCACCGUAAUGAUUAAUAGGGAUAGUUGGGGGCAUUAGUAUUCAAUUGUCAGAGGUGAAAUUCUUGGAUUUAUUGAAGACUAACUUCUGCGAAAGCAUUUGCCAAGGAUGUUUUCAUUAAUCAAGAACGAAAGUUAGGGGAUCGAAGACGAUCAGAUACCGUCGUAGUCUUAACCAUAAACUAUGCCGACUAGGGAUCGGACGAUGUUAAUUUUUUAAUGACUCG